Rhineura floridana is the source of this 737-nucleotide long non-coding RNA. RefSeq lists it as uncharacterized. NCBI's taxonomy places the organism in Eukaryota, Metazoa, Chordata, Lepidosauria, Squamata, Rhineuridae. The transcript has 2 exons. The record is from RefSeq and is a predicted model, not a curated record.
UAUUGCCAGACUCAGAAUUUGUUCUGUUUACUGAUGGCAGUUCUUACUAUCAGGAUGGGGUAAGGUACACGGGUUUUGCGAUAACCACACAAUGGGAAGUUAUGGAGGCUGCCGCUCUCCCAGGGAGAUGGGGCGUACAAGCCGCGGAAAUAUAUGCCCUUGCUAGAGCCUGCCAGCUUGCUUCAGGAAAGAAAGUCACGAUCUAUACGGAUAGCAGAAAAAACUGCAAGAGCUUUGGAGAACUGCCUGGUAUUCAAAAACGGUGCCCCUCGAGGACCAAGUGCAUCCAUACCAGCCCGGAGACUUUGUUUGGGCAAAAAAGUUUGUGAGAGGCGAUUCGCUUCAGCCAAAAUACACAGGACCACAUCAAGUCCUGUUAUCUACACAGGCUGCUGUUUUCCUGGAAGGAAGUCGUGGAUUCAUCAUUCCCACGUAAAACCCGCAGUAAUAACAGCUUCACCACCACCUGUAGUUCCCAAGCUCCGGCUGAGAAGAAGUGGAGAAACAGGACAGUGGCAGACAGACCAGUUCCUAUUUCAAGACAUGGAGAUCGAUUGAAAGCCCGAAGUUAAAGAGACAUUUCUUAUAUUAUAAUGUUCUUAAUCAGUUUUGUGUUAUAUGUCUUGUUUUUGUACUUGUCCUGUGUACAAGGUUUGUGCUGCCCAUCGGGUACUAAGAUUUGUGAUGUUUCUGAUUAUAAUGUACUUGUGGAAUUUGGAAGAACAGUUCCAAAAACA